Long non-coding RNA from Nicotiana tabacum (common tobacco), 1080 nucleotides. RefSeq lists it as uncharacterized. The record is from RefSeq and is a predicted model, not a curated record. NCBI's taxonomy places the organism in Eukaryota, Viridiplantae, Streptophyta, Magnoliopsida, Solanales, Solanaceae.
GGGCUAACGCUAGAGACCAAGAAAGGAGGAGGAUCAGCCGUUUUUCUAAUGGGGAACCUAGACACAAACCCUUUCUUCUUCAUGGAAAACCCCUAGAAAAGCUAAGACAAAAAUAGCCGCAUAAACCAAAAUUAGACAACCAGCCCCCCAGAACUUCAGCUUCUACUUCACAAAAGAACGCUAGGCUUCUUCUUCAUGAAGGACUAACCUAAAAAACUUACAAGAAACAAGAGCAGCAUCCAUUUUCCAUGGAGCCAAAGCUUCUUCUUCUUCAUUGACACGAAUCUCAAGAGGCUCCACUCAAUGCUAUUUGGAAUAGAAGUAGCUCUCGAAAGGAAGGAUUUAGUUCUGCAACAGUACUUGGAUUAGGACCCAUCGUCUUUCUUGAUUCACAUUCUCAGUCCGACGUCGACGAUGCCUUCAUUCAUCCAAUUCGCUAUGAAGUUUUGUCUAAGUGUCGACGCUCUCUCAUUACUGAAUCCGACCGCCAUGCCUUUGAACAAGCAGACAGAGAUCCAAGCUGCAUAUUUACCAAAGGAAAAGAUAUCGAUAUCGAGAAGAUUAAGCAGUCUUAGUACUUUCUUUCCUUUUUUCAGCAACAUGAAUGCAUAACUAUUGGCGAACAGGGGAAUCAAUCAAAAAGGCGUGAGAAUGUGAGUAGCAGGAGGCUUAGCCCAGUUGCUUCGAGUUUGGGUGUGGAGUUUUCCGGUGCUAAUUCGAGUUCCGUCCGCGGUUUGUUACAUCUCGAGUUCAAAGUAGUGAAACAAUCAAUUGUCCGGCUAUAUUAAGAUGUGGAUCUACUUACCAGAGUUUGAGCAUGACAAACACCCCAGAACCAUCUGGUCAGGACCGUUGCAUCCAGGAGUUGCUUAAAGAGAAAUUUUUUAUAUUUUGAGUUUGUUUCUUUUUUAUGUUGUCUUGUACUAUAGUUAUAUUCAGUAGCAAUGAUUCUUUUAGUUGGUGUCGGAGUUUGUCGUAGUAUAGUUGAAUUGAGUCUCUCUUUAUCAUAUUUCCUAUUUUGUAUUUGAAAAUCAAAAAAAGUUGUAAAUGAAUAAUCCAAAAAGACUUUUUUUAGUUUAA